Non-coding RNA from Cordylochernes scorpioides, 72 nucleotides. The record is from the annotation of a GenBank genome assembly. NCBI's taxonomy places the organism in Eukaryota, Metazoa, Arthropoda, Arachnida, Pseudoscorpiones, Chernetidae.
UGCAUCGGCCGGGAAUCGAACCCUGGCCGCCCGCGGUGGCAGGCGAGCAUUCUACCACUGAACCACCGAUGC